GACGAACGCUGGCGGCGUGCCUAAUACAUGCAAGUAGAACGCUGAAGGAGGAGCUUGCUUCUCUGGAUGAGUUGCGAACGGGUGAGUAACGCGUAGGUAACCUGCCUGGUAGCGGGGGAUAACUAUUGGAAACGAUAGCUAAUACCGCAUAACAGUAGAUAUCGCAUGAUAUCUACUUGAAAGGUGCAAUUGCAUCACUACCAGAUGGACCUGCGUUGUAUUAGCUAGUUGGUGAGGUAACGGCUCACCAAGGCGACGAUACAUAGCCGACCUGAGAGGGUGAUCGGCCACACUGGGACUGAGACACGGCCCAGACUCCUACGGGAGGCAGCAGUAGGGAAUCUUCGGCAAUGGACGGAAGUCUGAACGAGCAACGCCGCGUGAGUGAAGAAGGUUUUCGGAUCGUAAAGCUCUGUUGUAAGAGAAGAACGAGUGUGAGAGUGGAAAGUUCACACUGUGACGGUAUCUUACCAGAAAGGGACGGCUAACUACGUG
Molecule: ribosomal RNA, 495 nt
Filed under: uncultured bacterium
Lineage: Bacteria
Description: partial 16S ribosomal RNA
Rfam family: Bacterial small subunit ribosomal RNA
Source: RNAcentral